RNAcentral lists this long non-coding RNA (2360 nucleotides) under Canis lupus familiaris (dog). Its description in RNAcentral is "lncRNA (ENSCAFG00040004677.1)". Lineage: Eukaryota; Metazoa; Chordata; Mammalia; Carnivora; Canidae. The record is from RNAcentral.
CCAACUCCUCCUGAUAGAAACACAAUAAAUGAACCAUAUUAUGCUCUCCAUGAAAAUGGAGGCUAUGUGUGUUCACUAAACGUGUCUUGUUUAUACUCUUCUUGUUUGUUUAAUGGAUGGAUAAAUUCGCAAACACCAAUCAUGGGCCACAUCUUUAUUAUUUUUGUGUGAUUUCUCAGCAAGUACUAACGUAGAAGAAGUUCUACAGCAUGAACAAAGCGCAGUGGCCUCAACUUCAGGCCAGACAGAAAAGGACUCUUCUUCCUCUUCAGAAUGCUUCAGCACCUCCUCCCAAGAAAAGCUCACUGGUGCUGGAAUCUUAAAAUCAAGCAAAUGUGAUCCACCACCUGGCCACUCUUUGGAAGACAAUACUGCGGUCCCUGAGGCAAAAGAAAUCUUAAAGAAGCAAAAGGAUACUCCACAGCCUGGUGAGAGUACCUCACAGGAAGAACACAGUGCCGUUGUCUCAAGUGACCUCCCCUGUGCCUCUGACAAUAAGAAUACGGGUAAGUCGAGAUGUCUGAACUGGAGGUGGGUAGUGGCAAAGGGAGAUAUAAGCAUGGCUGAGGGUCCAGCUGAGCAUUUCUAUUUACAGACUCAUAGAUGAGAGUUAAAAAGUGAUCCAAGCCAUGUCCAGAUGAGAGAGAUAACACAAGGUCUUUUUUCUCUCCAGGAGAUGUUCAUUGCAUCUAUAUAAAACAAAGCCUGGAGAUUCAAGGGGAAUCUCAGAGAGGACAAAUAUCCAUAAGUGCAGGGCCAUGUUUGCAAAGGUGGAGUCUAAAGAAAUGUCAGAUCUCUCUGAGAAAUGGAAAUAUAAACUCAGUCUGAACCUGAGAAGAUGAAUUCUGUUGGUCAUAAUGUGGGCAAAUCUCUGACAGCUGGUGUGAAAUGGGCCAGCAAAGAACAGAUAGGGCAUCCAAGAAGGAACCAGUAGAUUUUGCUUUUUCGCUAAGAGAGGACUGAACUCCUUAGCAUAUGUCCUUUCAUGGGGGAAGAAGGGGCAGAGAUUUGAAAGAGACCCUUCGAUUCUUCUCCAACAACCUCCUAACCCUCAUGAGCACACAGGAAUAUUUAUUCCAUCACACACUCUACUAGACUCAGCACAAAGUCCUCUCACAGUUACCCCUAUUGACACUUGUCUCUUCAUUUCCCAUUCUCUGGUCCCAUUUCUUUCUUUUUUCUUUUCUUUUUUUUUUGUUAAGGAUCUUAAUCAUUUAUUCACAAGAAACACAUAUAGAGAGAGGCAGAGACAUAGGCAGAGGGAGGAGCAGGCUCCCUCAGGGUGCCCAACGUGGGACUCAAUCCCGGGAAGCCAGGCUCAUGCCCCGAGCCAAAGGCAGGUGCUCAACCACUGAGCCACCCAGGCAUCCCUCUGCUCCCAUUUCCUUAUACUCUCCGACAGACUCAUAAAUUCAGAUCCUCAUAUCCUGAACCUUCAGAACUCGUUUUGCAGCAUAUGUAUUCCUCAAGUUUGCUUUCUCUAAUGUCAUUCCUUAGAUACUAUCAUCUCAAACUCACACAAAUAAUCUCACUCUUGUAGAACUUCAUAUUUCACAUUAACAGUGAACAAAGCCACACAAUCAUAUAAGAUCGUGUAAAACGCCUCUGUCCCAACUCGCUUCGGCCCCUCAUGUAAUUCCACAAUCUAGGACCUCGUGUGAGGUCUUGCCUCUAUCCUUGCCUCUAUCCUAGCACUUUCACAAUCUCAACAGAUCUCACAAAAUUACACACGUCCAUAUCCCUCUCAUAAAUCAAAUAGACAGUAUGUCACAACUUGAACCUCAGUAGUACAUGACACCCAGAUCACUCAUACCACCUUUACAUAUACGGGAUUAUGCAGUACCAUCCGCUAAUAUAUGAAGCUCAUGCUACCUUUACGUAGAAUGGCCAUGGCACCCGUACGCCUCCUACAUAAAAUUGUUGAAGAAACAUGACAGACACGUACACAAUCAGACAGUACUCACCGAACACGGUACACAUACCGUGUGUACCUUAAAUAAUCCACCCCCCACUGACUUGUCUCAUGCCUACAACAUGACCUACCAGAUACUCUUCAGUGACCUAAGAGACAAAGUAGGUGCAUUUUGUGAAGUUAAAUUUGGGUACAAGCUUCAAAAAACUUUUUAAACAUAGGAAGAGACUUAAUAUGUUUGAGUUAUUUUAUCAGGAACAGAAAUUUACCUAUUUACUGAGCGUUGAGUUUGGAAAUGUAGAUUAAGAGGAAGAAAAACUAACUGGCGAUUUUCGGGAUGUGUUGAAGUUCAUGAUAGAGGUAAAACCCGAUCCCAAAAAUAUACAUAUUUUACUAGGAAAACAAUCAACAACUUAGAAUUUAGCUGUUUAGUGGGAAAGUUUAGUGG